CAGUUAUUCAAAAAUGAAACGAGCAACCAUUUUUUAUUCCAGCUUCCACUGACAUCUACUGUCAUAUGAAAAUUUAUUUGCCUUUUAUAACAGGAUGCUUUUCUGCAUAUAACAAGAAACAGGUACCAAGCAUUAUUGAUUCAUGUACCUAAAAUAAACCAGAGUUUAAAUGGGCUUCAGGCAUGGUUUGAUUGGGGCUUAGGCUCAGUGUCUGUGAUUUGUUAAGAUUUCCCCUCUUCUGUAUGUCAAUUCCAUUCUCAGACUACCUUUCCUCAUGGUAGCAAAAUUAGCCUAGAAGUUCCAGAUCAUAGCAGUUCAAGUCUAGAGAGAAAUAAAUAAACCUAUGUCCUGUGAUGCAUUCUGAACUGGCUUAGGUCACAUACCUGGACCAAUCACUAAAGUCACAUGGGUGAAAUGCGCUGAUUGACUUGGCUAGGACAUGUGUUCCAUCCCUGAACCCUAAGAUAUAUCUCACUAGAACCAAAUGGAUUCCUAGUGAAAUCAAGGGCUUGAAGAGUGAAUGCCAUGAACCAAUCAAAAAUGUCUAGUAUAGCUUCUUCCUUUGUGUACUGAGCUCUCAUGGACACAUUUAUUCCCACAUACUCACUUUCAAAAAUGCUCAUACUUACAUGUAGUGAAUUUGUCUUCAAAGGGGAAAAGCCUCAAGUCUUAUCCAGUUAUUACAUUUAACAUUAAGUUUAGCAUAGGUGAAAACUUUGGGGGGAGGGAGGAAUUGGGAGGGUUGGAAUAAUAAAUACACACUACUGUAUAAAAUAGAUGAUUGAGAACUUACUGAAUAGCAUAGGAAAUUCUGCUCAAUAGUUUGUAAUAACCUAUAUGGGGAAAAAAAGAAUGGAUAUAUUUAUAUGUAUAACUGAUUCACUUUGCUGUAUGACUGAAACUAAUAUAACAUUGUAAGUCAACUAUAUUCCAAUAAAUUUUUUUAAAGAAACAUUAAGUUUAGGAUUUCUAAUUCACAUUGCAGACAUCUUCAGAUCCAUCAUCCUGACAAUCUUGUCACCUUUUAUUAAAUUAUAAACUAACCUUCACUCCAACAUACCCAACAUACAAUUAUGAAGAAAUAACUGAAGAAGUAUAAUAAAAACUACCACUUUAAAAGGGGAAGAAACAGGGAGCAAUACACAGUAGUUUCUGGUUCAAGGUAUAUGUCAUAACUUGUUAGACAAGGGCUGUACCCUGGCAGUAGAGUGAGUCCUCUGGUCAACCAGCCUCUUUUUAUUCUCUAAGAGGGUCUCUCUUGGAGACAUCUUGAGUGGAUACACUUCCUUGGAGAUGAACAGUUUUACAGUCUAUUUCAACUUCUGCCAUUUCUUGUGUCUGGGUUGAAAUAAUCAGUUUUUCUACUGUUGGCCAGGAUUGAAGUCUCUUUAAUAUAAUAGUUCUCAAACUUUAUCAUGUAAUAGUAUCACCUGAAGAACUUGUUAAACCACAGAUAGCUGGGGCCCACCAACAGAAAUUCUGAUUCAGUAAGUCUAGGUUGGGGUUCAAGGAUAUAUUUAUUCUAACAAGUUCACAAAGGAGACUGAUACUGCUGGUGGUUGGAUCCCACAUUGAGAAUCCCUGACUCAUAGGUGUCAAUUGAGUGAAGCCAGAAUCGUUAUUUCCUUAACUUUCUUGAUAAUAAAUUUACCUAGGCUGCUCGCUAAAAUAGAAGUUCCUGAACCUCACCUUAGUUUUAAUAAAUCAAAAUCUGUUGGCAGGGGAGUAGGGGGACCUGGAAAAUCUCUACCAGAUAUUUCAGGAGAUUCUUAUCAUCAUUGUGAAUACUGAUUGGGAAACACUGGUCUAGGAAAUUAAGCUUUUUAAAUUUUAUUUUAUUUUUCCACUGUACAGCAUGGAGACCAAGUUACACAUACAUGUAUACAUAAUUUUUCCUCCCAUUGUCUUGUUGCAAUGCAAGUAUCUAGACAUGGUUCUCAGGCUUUUCUUGACACCAACCUUAUUUCCUGGUAAGCCUGUCAUCUCCUUGCCCUUGCUCUCACAAAGCUUAGUUUAGGGUAACGAAUUUGGCCUUUGUAAUCCUACAAGCUUCCAAAUUCCCACAUGUCUUUCAACUAGUAUUUCAGGCAACUAGUAACUAAGCUAAGAAAGCGCUAUUUUCUUCCCUCACUGUUUUCAGAUAGGCUAGUUACCACUAUAGAUGUAGUAUGCUUGAACUUUGUCUAAGAAGCAUAGAUCUGAGGGCUCCAAAAGAGCAUAGAAUAGGAGAGACAAUGAGAUCAGUAGAAGCGGCAUAAUUCCAGACUCCACUAGUUCUGUAAUUUGGGGGGUAGCGACUUGAUAUUUUUAAGCUCACUAUUGCUGGUAAGAAACAUUACCUCACUGGGUUCUACUGAUAACUAAAUGAGAACUACAUCCUUAGUGAAAAAUAGUGGAGUGAAGGUACUUAAUAAAGAUGAACUCCAUUUAGUUCCCAAGAGGGUACAGCUCACAUUCUUUUUUUUUUUCCCUUGUGUUUUUGUCUUUUUAGGGCUGCACUUCCUGCAUAUGGAGGUUCCCAGUCUAGGGGUCCAAUCAGAGCUGUAGCCGCCAGCCUAUGCCAGAACCACCGCAAUGCCAGAUCCAAGCCAUGUCUGCGACCUACACCACAGCUCACAGCAACACCGGAUAUUUAACCCACCAAACAAGGCCAGGGAUUGAACCCGCAACCUCAUGGUUCCUAGUCGGAUUCGUUUCCACUGCGCCAUGACGGGAACUCCUCACAUUCUUUUAGCGAACCUUCAUAUUUAGCAAUAUCCAGUGACAUUUAACUAGUGAAUAUAGUCCAGAAAUUCUAUUACUGAAAUAUGACUGUAAACAAUCCUAUGGAUGUACAUAGCUCCUUCUUUUCUGAUAAAGAAUUUUCCCAGAGAAAUCCUCAUAGCAUUCCUGAAUCGUUAGAAGGGCAGGAUGUUAUCCUACUUUGUAGAUUCAAUCAUUCAAUUGCUUUUUGAUAGUCUUAGAUGAUACUUAUGAAGGAGAUAAAUAAUGUCCAUAUUUCUAGGGAGCUUAGAUUUUCAUAGUGGGAGAAAGGCAGCAAAGACAUAGACAUUAUAUCAUUUAUGGGACUGAUAGGUUAUAUGAAAUUUGCAGGGGGUGGGGGAGAGAACGGGAUGGAUGGGGAGUUUGGGGUGAAUAGAUGCAAACUAUUACAUUUGGAACAGAUGGAUAAUGGGGUCUUACUGUACAGAACAGGGAACUGUGCCAAGGCUCUUGGGUUAGAACAUGAUGGAAGGUAAUAUGAAAAAAAAAGAAUGUAUGUGUAUGUGCAGCUGGGUCACUUUGCUAUGCAGCAGAAAUUGAAGGAACAUUGUAAGUCAACUAUAAUUUUAAAAAAGCAAAGCAAUAGGAUAGAGGGUAACUAGAUAAGGGAGCUAAUUCAACUAGGGUUUGUCAAAAAAAAAGGCUUGAUGGAUAUUUAAAUAGAUAACUGAAUGACAAGAAGCCAGCUUGUGCAGCAAUUUCAAGGAGGAGUGAUCUAUAGAGAAAAACAAGUUGAGAGACCAGAAUACCUGAAAUAUUUUAUUCAUAGUUAUUAAUUCAGUCAUGUGUUUAAUACUGAGACCAAUAAUUCAUGAUUUUUCUCUGCUGUUCCAUAUAGCUGGCUAACUAUUCUCUGCUGUUUUCUGGUAAAUUUUUCUCUUUGUGAAGGACUAAGGACAUUGCUGACAACAUUUUUAUGCAUUUUUUUUAAUUGUACCCUGGUCCUGGAGAUGAUGUGAAGGGGCUAAGAAGUCAAUGAUUAAAUGGAAAUGGGGCAUAUUUCUCCCUCAACCCCAAAUCCAUGAUAACAGGUCUAUAGCACAGAGUUAAAGUUGAAGCCCAAAUAUAAUGUAAUGAAUGUAUAAACCUAUUUUUGAGGUUAUAGUCUCAAGCACAUACUGCAAGAUAUUUGAGCCAUUUAGUUUAGAUCAUUAAUCUCUGGAGAGCAGUGGGAUGGCAAAAAGCAUUUAUUGAACACCUAGUAUAUGCCAGGCAUAUCUUAAUCUUCACAGGAUACGGGGAGCUGACUGUAACUAUCUCCAUUUUAUGGAUAAGGAAAUCACACUUAGAAAAAAGAUACAUGGGCAAAAACAGCUAGUAACAGUACUACACAUGAACCUAAGUCUCCUGAUGCCAAGUGCUAUUCUAAUUAUUAUUUUUGCAAAUGUUUGCCUAAAGAAAUGGGAAAUAAGCAAGAGCACCAAGGGAAAAGUCAAAGUGAGUUACAGCUGUUGUCUUACUAUUCUUUCAUCUCUGUCGCCUUCUUUCAACACAUACUUUCUACUUGAUUCAUUUAUUCUUUCCAUAAAUAUAUUUAGCACUUAAUUUUUCCAGACACUGUAAUUAGGAACUUGGGAUAUUUCAGUAAAUAAAACAUUCAGUGAUCCCUGUCCUCAUGGAGCUUACAUGCAAACAAGAGGAGGCUGUCAAUAAACAAUGAAAAAUAAGGAAAUAAAUUACAUGAGAGAAGUGACAUUGUGGACAAAAUGAAAAUUAGACAAGGGUAAGAGGUUAAGAGGAGCGGUAGGUUGCAAAAUUAAAUAGGGAGAGCAGGAUAGACUUCAUGGGAAAGAUAAUAUUUGUGCAAAGAAAUGAGGGAAGUGAAGGAGUUAUCCAAGCAUGUAGCUAGAGAAAGAGCAUAUGAGGCAAAAGGAGCUGCUAGAGGAAAAGCCCUAAGGUAGGUGUGUUAUUAGCAUGUUCAAAGACCAAGGAGGCUACUUUGCCUAGAGCUACAUAAGUGAAGGUGACAGACAUAAGUGAAGUCAGAGAAAUAAUUAGGGACUAAAUCACAUAAGGCCUUGUCAUGCAUUAUAUGAACUCUAUGAAAUGAGAAGCCUGUCACAGGUUGCAUUCUGCAGGAAGCAAACUCGAAACAAUCCUUCAGAAAAUGUUUUAAACAAUGCUGGCAAAGAAGCAGGAACAAAAAGGGAAAAGUUAAGCUCUGAUACUCAAUGAUAGUGUCAGCCACAACUCAUAACACUGAUCAAUCACUGGAUAUAGGUAGGCUACCUUGGGAAAGGAUGUGACCUUGGACAAGGCUGCUCUCUAAAGCUGAAGCAAUCCUUAAACAGAGAAGAUAGCUGAAACUGCAGUAAUGAGCCUGUCAAUGAAAGAUAACCUGGAUUUUGCAUCUCCAUAUCCACAAAGGCAUUGCAGAUUUUGAGCAGAAAAUUGGCCUGACUUCCUUUUUUAAAGGAUCGCUCCAAUGUUUUAAGCACUGGUAAUAGAGGGAAAACUAUGAAAUUAGUGAAACUAGUUAGUAUUAUGAAAACCCAGGUAUGAGCUGAUAAUAUCUGAAAGGUAACAAUGGAGGUGGUAAGAAGAAUUUGAAUUUGGGAUAUAUUUUGAAGGAAACCCCCAGGAUUUGCUCACCAAUUGGAAGUGGUAUGUGAGAGGGAAAUAGAGGAGUCAUGGAUGGCUUCAAAAUUUUUAGACUAAACAACUGGAAGAAUGGAGUGGCCAUCAACACAGAAAGAGAAGGCUGUGAUUUGGAUGGAUGUAGAGGUAGGAUUAGGAAUUCAGUUUUGGAAAAGUUGGGUUUGAGGUGUUUUUAGGACACCUAAGUAAGAUGUUAAGCAGUUAUUGAAUAUGAGUCACAGUUCAGAGGAGAGAUCUCACUGAGCUGGACAUAAAUUUGGUAAGUCCUGUAUAUAAAUGGAAUUUAAAAAAUACAGGAGUAUAUAAAAUCACCCUAGGAACAAGUGUACAUAAGGAAGAGCAUAUGAUUAUAAGCAGAGCCCUGGACCACAAUGAUAUUUGGGGAAGAGGAGACACAAACAAAAGAAACUAAGAGGUAGGAGUUAAAGUGUGUGGUAUCCAAAGUGUAUAUGUAUGACUGUUGUACAGCAGAAAUUAUCACAGCCUUAUAAGUUAACUAUACUUCAAUCAAAUUUCUAAAAAAAAGCAAAGCAACAGCAACAAAAAAGAUUGUGGUAUCAUGGAAGUCCUUCCUUCUUAGCCACCUACCUACACACCCUAAAUCUCUUUCUAACAAAUUAUUUACAUUCAAUUUUAAAUGUCAUCUCUAAGAUGAUUGUUUUGCUUUUCAUCUCCUUUGAGUAAAACUACUCAACACGAAGAACCCAUACAUGACAUUUUUUAACUGUAUCAAAGUAAUAUCACCACCAGUCUGAGCACUCCUAACUCAUUCUUUUCUAAGACACCCCUAAAGGUAGAAAAAUUUUGAGGGAAAAUGUGGUUUCCUUAAACCUACACCAAUGUUAUUAAUGAGGCCAGUAGACUAACAGCAAACACCUAGAAGGUAAAAAUUUAUUUUUUUAUUUUUUAAAGAUUUUAUUUUUUAUUAUAGUUAAUUUACAAUGUUCUGUCAAUUUCUGCUGUACAGCAAGGUGACCCAUCUAUUUUUCACCUAUAACACCGCAGAAAGCAAAUGGAAUAGAUGGGGUAAGUGUCACGGAAGAAGAGUGUUUUAGGUGGGAAGCCAAAGACUAUCUCAAAGCUCAGUUAAGUAAGCACAAAGAAGGAAGUCAGGACCAGUGAAAGAGAACCCUUGCUCAUCGGAGACGCUAUUAUAUCAAACCUUUGUGUUAUAUGCACACAGCCAAGCCCUACCCAGUUGCUAAAAUUCAGCAAUUUGGCUCUAUCAGUAAUUAGUUAUGGAACACAGGAUAUUUCCGAUGAAGAUGGCCUCAGUUGGGUUCUCAGUAGUCAUCUUCCACACAGGCAUACUUCUGACCUUGCAGAACCCUCACCCAUCCCACCCACUUAAGCAUACUCAAGUUGUUGAUUUCCAUGGAUAUUUUUUGAUUUGCUAUUUGCUGGAUAGUUACUGACUCUCUUGGAUGUAUUCCUUGUCUAUAGGAUCACCCCUGGCUUAAAUACACAAGAAUACAAAUCAUUGCGCAUAAACUGUCAGACUCAACCACUCAUAAGAUAAGUCAUAUCAUUCUUGGCCCACUCCUUUUAAAAACCUCAUCUACUUGGGAUUGCAUCCAUUCUCUUGAGUGAGAUUGUGACUAUUUCUAUUGAGAUUUCAUUUUACACAUGAAGAGAGGGAGGAAAUGAGAAAUAGAAGGAUAGCUGAGGGAAGAGUAGAGAGCCUCACAGUCUUCCAAUCCUGAUACUUCUUCCCUUUUGCCCUCCCUCCUUCUUCCCCUUAUUCAUUAAAAUGUGAAUAUCCUGCACACAUAAGUAUCAUCAGCUGUGGGGAGGGAAAGGAACAGGUGUUCCAAGGGUGCCUAAGUGGAAAUUAUCACCCCUGACAAAGAAAGGCAGGUAUUGGAAUGAAUUUUAAUGGAUCAGUAUUCCAUCUGAAAUUGAUAAUGCCUCUUAAAAUAAAUGGUUUCAUAGUAUGAAUGAAAUGCAGUUAAUGUUAAUAAAUUUUCAUGAUAAAUGGGGCCACUGAAUCAAGGACCUAAACGUAAGUCCAGAUAAUAUAAAACUCAUAGAAGAAAGCAGAGGCAGAACAGUCUUUGACAUAAAUCUUGGCAAUAUCUUUUUUGACCCCCUUCUAGAAUAAUGAAAAUGAAAACAAAAAUAAACAAAUGGGACAUAAUUAAACUUAAAAACUCUACACAGCAAAGGAAACCAUAAAGAAAAUGAAAAGACAAACAACAGAAUGGGAGAAAACCUUUGCAAAAAAAGCAACCAACAGGGAUUAAUCUCCCAAAUAUAUGAACAUUUCAUGCAGCUUUAUAUCAAAAAAUAUCAAAAUGGAAGAAAAUCUACAUAGAUAUUUCUCCAAAGAAGACAGGUGGGGGAAAACACAUCAAAAGAUGUUCAACAUCACUAAUUAUUAGAGAAAUGCAAGUCAAAACUGCAUUGAGGAGUUCCUGAGGUGAAUCAGUAGUUAACAAAUCUGACUAGGAACCAUGAGGUUUUGGGUUCUAUCCCUGGCCUCACUCAGUGGGUUGAGGAUCUGGUGUUGCCAUGAGCUGUGGUGUAGGUCGCAGAUGUGGCUUGGAUCCUGUGUUGCUGUGGCUAUGGUGUAUGGCAGCGGCUACAGCUCUGAUUAGACCCCUAGCCUGGGAACCUCCAUACGCCACGGGUGCAGCCUUAGAAAAGGCAAAAAAAAAAAAAAAAUUAAAAAAAAA
RNAcentral lists this long non-coding RNA (8036 nucleotides) under Sus scrofa (pig). RNAcentral's name for it is "lncRNA (ENSSSCG00015064194.1)". The record is from RNAcentral. Lineage: Eukaryota; Metazoa; Chordata; Mammalia; Artiodactyla; Suidae.